ACGGCUCAGUAACACGUAGUCAACCUACCUUAUGGACGAGGAUAAUCUCGGGAAACUGAGGAUAAUACUCGAUAGACCAUUAUGCCUGGAACGGUUUAUGGUUAAAAUGAUUCAUCGCCAUAGGAUGGGACUGCGGCCUAUCAGCUUGUUGGUGAGGUAAUGGCCCACCAAGGCGAUUACAGGUACGGGCUCUGAGAGGGGUAGCCCGGAGAUGGGUACUGAGACACGGACCCAGGCCCUAUGGGGCGCAGCAGGCGAGAAAACUUUGCAAUGUGCGAAAGCACGACAAGGUUAAUCCGAGUGAUUUGUGCUAAACGAAUCUUUUGUUAGUCCUAGAAACACUAACGAAUAAGGGGUGGGCAAGUUCUGGUGUCAGCCGCCGCGGUAAAACCAGCACCUCAAGUGGUCAGGAUGAUUAUUGGGCCUAAAGCAUCCGUAGCCGGCUCUGUAAGUUUUCGGUUAAAUCUGUACGCUUAACGUACAGGCUGCCGGGAAUACUGCAGAGCUAGGGAGUGGGAGAGGUAGACGGUACUCGGUAGGAAGUGGUAAAAUGCUUUGAUCUAUCGAUGACCACCUGUGGCGAAGGCGGUCUACCAGAACACGUCCGACGGUGAGGGAUGAAAGCUGGGGGAGCAAACCGGAUUAGAUACCCGGGUAGUCCCAGCUGUAAACUAUGCAAACUCAGUGAUGCAUUGGCUUGUGGCCAAUGCAGUGCUGCAGGGAAGCCGUUAAGUUUGCCGCCUGGGAAGUACGUACGCAAGUAUGAAACUUAAAGGAAUUGGCGGGGGAGCAC
This 793-nucleotide ribosomal RNA is filed under the name uncultured archaeon. RNAcentral's name for it is "bacterial SSU rRNA". It matches the Rfam family "Archaeal small subunit ribosomal RNA", at positions 85 to 879 of the family's 1478-position model. The record is from RNAcentral.